This 500-nucleotide ribosomal RNA is filed under the name uncultured bacterium. RNAcentral describes it as "partial 16S ribosomal RNA". It matches the Rfam family "Bacterial small subunit ribosomal RNA", at positions 30 to 523 of the family's 1533-position model. The record is from RNAcentral.
AUUGAACGCUGGCGGCAUGCCUUACACAUGCAAGUCGAACGGCAGCACGGGAGCAAUCCUGGUGGCGAGUGGCGAACGGGUGAGUAAAGUAUCGGAACGUGCCCAGUCGUGGGGGAUAACGUAGCGAAAGUUACGCUAAUACCGCAUACGAUCUACGGAUGAAAGCGGGGGAUCGCAAGACCUCGCGCGAUUGGAGCGGCUGAUAUCAGAUUAGGUAGUUGGUGGGGUAAAGGCUCACCAAGCCGACGAUCUGUAGCUGGUCUGAGAGGACGACCAGCCACACUGGGACUGGGACACGGCCCAGACUCCUACGGGAGGCAGCAGUGGGGAAUUUUGGACAAUGGGCGCAAGCCUGAUCCAGCCAUGCCGCGUGCAGGAUGAAGGCCUUCGGGUUGUAAACUGCUUUUGUACGGAACGAAAAGGUUUGGCCUAAUAAGCUGGACCCAUGACGGUACCGUAAGAAUAAGCACCGGCUAACUACGUGCCAGCCGCCGCAGUAA